RNAcentral lists this ribosomal RNA (404 nucleotides) under Actinomycetes bacterium. RNAcentral describes it as "Actinobacteria bacterium partial 16S ribosomal RNA". It matches the Rfam family "Bacterial small subunit ribosomal RNA", at positions 355 to 776 of the family's 1533-position model. The record is from RNAcentral. Lineage: Bacteria; Bacillati; Actinomycetota; Actinomycetes.
UGGGGAAUAUUGGACAAUGGGCGCAAGCCUGAUCCAGCCAUGCCGCGUGAGUGAUGAAGGCCCUAGGGUUGUAAAGCUCUUUCACCGGUGAAGAUAAUGACGGUAACCGGAGAAGAAGCCCCGGCUAACUUCGUGCCAGCAGCCGCGGUAAUACGAAGGGGGCUAGCGUUGUUCGGAUUUACUGGGCGUAAAGCGCACGUAAGCGGACUAUUAAGUCAGGGGUGAAAUCCCGGGGCUCAACCCCGGAACUGCCUUUGAUACUGGUAGUCUUGAGUUCGAGAGAGGUGAGUGGAAUUCCGAGUGUAGAGGUGAAAUUCGUAGAUAUUCGGAGGAACACCAGUGGCGAAGGCGGCUCACUGGCUCGAUACUGACGCUGAGGUGCGAAAGCGUGGGGAGCAAACAGG